AGCCUAGAUUAGGCAAAUCGAGAAGUGUUUCUCUAUCCUAGACCUAAUCGAAGAAUAGAAGGUCCCCCUUGCCACCUUUAUGUUGAUCAGUGAAGCAUAACACUAGUGGUGACUUAAGAAGAUAUUCUGCCCACCCCCAUCACUUAGGAAGUCUUCAUAGAUCCUUUUUUUGAAAACUUUUUUCCUGUAUAUGUCCGAGAAAAGGAGGAGGAAUUUUAGGACCUCUGUCAAGAAAACAUGACUAUUAGUUAAUAUGCAAUUUGGUUUACCCAGUUAUCUCGAUUUACCCCUUUACUAGUCACCCCUGAGAGUCGUAAGGCUUGGAAAUUUUUGAAGGGUCUUUGUCUAAACAUUUAUGAUCGAGUAGCAUUGUUAAGGCCUAACUUUUGCACGGAGGUGUGCGAACAUGCCAAGUUUAUCGAAGAACUCAUCUUGGCCCAACACCAACACACCACUUGAAUCUAUACCCAGCAGUAGCAAAAACAGCAGUAAAAGAGAAGGUUACCUGACCUUAAUAAUGAUCGCCCUGACAAAAGAUCCCAAAUUGCUUUGUCCCCACCCACUGGAAAUCCUACUCAACCUCCCCAACCAUGCAAGAAUUGUGGACAUUUCUAUAGUUAUUA
Molecule: long non-coding RNA, 623 nt
Filed under: Carica papaya (papaya)
Lineage: Eukaryota; Viridiplantae; Streptophyta; Magnoliopsida; Brassicales; Caricaceae
Description: long non-coding RNA (CPAP_LNC010228)
Source: RNAcentral